This 428-nucleotide ribosomal RNA is filed under the name Acidobacteriota bacterium. RNAcentral's name for it is "Acidobacteria bacterium partial 16S ribosomal RNA". It matches the Rfam family "Bacterial small subunit ribosomal RNA", at positions 355 to 776 of the family's 1533-position model. The record is from RNAcentral. Lineage: Bacteria; Pseudomonadati; Acidobacteriota.
UGGGGAAUUUUGGACAAUGGGGGAAACCCUGAUCCAGCCAUCCCGCGUGUGCGAUGAAGGCCUUCGGGUUGUAAAGCACUUUUGGCAGGAAAGAAACGUCAUGGGUUAAUACCCCGUGAAACUGACGGUACCGCAGAAUAAGCACCGGCUAACUACGUGCCAGCAGCCGCGGUAAUACGUAGGGUGCAAGCGUUAAUCGGAAUUACUGGGCGUAAAGCGUGCGCAGGCGGUUCGGAAAGAAAGAUGUGAAAUCCCAGAGCUCAACUUUGGAACUGCAUUUUUAACUACCGGGCUAGAGUGUGUCAGAGGGAGGUGGAAUUCCGCGUGUAGCAGUGAAAUGCGUAGAUAUGCGGAGGAACACCGAUGGCGAAGGCAGCCUCCUGGGAUAACACUGACGCUCAUGCACGAAAGCGUGGGGAGCAAACAGG